The sequence is a small nucleolar RNA, 91 nucleotides long. Its record names the gene SNORD116. It matches the Rfam family "Small nucleolar RNA SNORD116". From Rfam's summary of the family: HBII-85 is a member of the C/D class of snoRNAs, which contain the C (UGAUGA) and D (CUGA) box motifs. The record is from Ensembl.
GGAUCAUGAUGACACCCCCACAUGCAUUCCUUGGAAAAUCUGAACAAAAUGAGUGAGAACUCACUACCGUCUCCUCAUCAAACUGAGGUCC